UUUCCUCUCUCUUUUCUUUCCCUUCUCUUUCCUUUCUUCUCCUCUCUCUUUUCUUUCCCUUCUCUUUCCUUUCCUCUCUCUUUUCUUUCCUUUCUCUUUCCUUCUUCUCUUCU
This 113-nucleotide long non-coding RNA is filed under the name Aotus nancymaae (Ma's night monkey). RNAcentral's name for it is "lncRNA (ENSANAG00000039530.1)". The record is from RNAcentral. Lineage: Eukaryota; Metazoa; Chordata; Mammalia; Primates; Aotidae.